RNAcentral lists this ribosomal RNA (497 nucleotides) under uncultured bacterium. Its description in RNAcentral is "partial 16S ribosomal RNA". It matches the Rfam family "Bacterial small subunit ribosomal RNA", at positions 28 to 507 of the family's 1533-position model. The record is from RNAcentral.
GAUGAACGCUGGCGGCGUGCCUAAUACAUGCAAGUCGAGCGAACAGAUAAGGAGCUUGCUCCUUUGACGUUAGCGGCGGACGGGUGAGUAACACGUGGGUAACCUACCUAUAAGACUGGGAUAACUUCGGGAAACCGGAGCUAAUACCGGAUAACAUUUGGAACCGCAUGGUUCUAAAGUGAAAGAUGGUUUUGCUAUCACUUAUAGAUGGACCCGCGCCGUAUUAGCUAGUUGGUAAGGUAACGGCUUACCAAGGCGACGAUACGUAGCCGACCUGAGAGGGUGGUCGGCCACACUAGAACUGAGACACGGUCCAGAGUCCUACGGGAGGCAGCAGUAGGGAAUCUUCCGCGAUGGGCGAAAGCCUGACGGAGCAACGCCGCGUGAGUGAUGAAGGGUUUCGGCUCGUAAAGCUCUGUUAUUAGGGAAGAACAAAUGUGUAAGUAACUGUGCACGUCUUGACGGUACCUAAUCAGAAAGCCACGGCUAACUACGUG